Molecule: unclassified non-coding RNA, 227 nt
Filed under: Hevea brasiliensis (rubber tree)
Lineage: Eukaryota; Viridiplantae; Streptophyta; Magnoliopsida; Malpighiales; Euphorbiaceae
Source: RNAcentral
UGAUUUUUUUCACAGACUGUGAUGCUGAAAAUCAGGCAGGAAAAUUUUCUUAGCAAUCAUUAUUUGUGGCAACAAUAUAUGCCAGUCUGCAUGUGACAGGAAAGAGCAAGUAACAUAUAACUUAGAAUAAUCUAAGCCAAUGUCAACGGCUCAAGUCAAAUAUGAUGCGUCCACAUAAGAAUGAUUGUAACAAGUGGGCAGAUUUUUAAAAUAUUAUAUGCAACACA